AAAUGAAUAGACGGGGACCCGCACAAGCAGCGGAGCAUGUGGUUUAAUUCGAAGCAACGCGAAGAACCUUACCAAGGCUUGACAUCCCUGCGCCGUAGUUGGAAACAGCUAUUUCCCUUAUGGGACGCGGGAGACAGGUGGUGCAUGGUUGUCGUCAGCUCGUGUCGUGAGAUGUUGGGUUAAGUCCCGCAACGAGCGCAACCCCUAUCUUUAGUUGCCAGCAUUUUGGGUGGGCACUCUAGAGAGACUGCCGGGGACAACUCGGAGGAAGGUGGGGACGACGUCAAAUCAUCAUGCCCCUUAUGUCUUGGGCUACACACGUGCUACAAUGGUCCGUUACAGAGGGCAGCGAAGCGGUGACGCGGAGCCAAUCCCAGAAAACGGAUCCCAGUUCGGAUUGUGGGCUGCAACUCGCCCACAUGAAGUCGGAGUUGCUAGUAAUCGCGGAUCAGCAUGCCGCGGUGAAUGCGUUCCCGGGUCUUGUACACACCGCCCGU
RNAcentral lists this ribosomal RNA (497 nucleotides) under uncultured bacterium. RNAcentral describes it as "bacterial SSU rRNA". It matches the Rfam family "Bacterial small subunit ribosomal RNA", at positions 903 to 1397 of the family's 1533-position model. The record is from RNAcentral.